GAUGAAUGCUGGCGGCGUGCCUAACACAUGCAAGUCGAGCGGCAGCGAGGGGUGCUUGCACCCUGUCGGCGAGCGGCGAACGGCUGAGUAACGCGUAGGAAUUUGCCCCAAAGUGAGGAAUAACUGCCCGAAAGGGUGGCUAAUGCCGCAUAUGGUCUUCGGAUUAAAGGAUUUAUCCGCUUUGGGAGAAGCCUGCGUUGGAUUAGGUUGUUGGUAGGGUAAUGGCCUACCAAGCCGACGAUCCAUAGCUGGUCUGAGAGGAUGAUCAGCCAGACUGGAACUGAGACACGGUCCAGACUCCUACGGGAGGCAGCAGUGAGGAAUCUUCCACAAUGGGCGAAAGCCUGAUGGAGCAACGCCGCGUGAAGGAUGAAGGCCUUCGGGUUGUAAACUUCUUUUAUGAGUGAAGAAUAUGACGGUAACUCAUGAAUAAGCACCGGCUAACUACGUG
This 451-nucleotide ribosomal RNA is filed under the name uncultured bacterium. RNAcentral describes it as "partial 16S ribosomal RNA". It matches the Rfam family "Bacterial small subunit ribosomal RNA", at positions 28 to 507 of the family's 1533-position model. The record is from RNAcentral.